UUCUGGUUGAUCCCGCCGGAGGUCACUGCUAUUGGGAUUCGACUAAGCCAUGCGAGUCGAGAGGGUUCGGCCCUCGGCAGACGGCUCAGUAACACGUGGAUAAUCUGCCCUUAGGUGGAGGAUAAUCUCGGGAAACUGAGGAUAAUACUCCAUAGAUCUAGGAUGCUGGAAUGCACUUAGAUUAAAAGUUCCGGCGCCUAAGGAUGAGUCUGCGGACUAUCAGGUAGUAGUCAGGGUAAAGGCCUGACUAGCCUACGACGGAUACGGGUUGUGAGAGCAAUAACCCGGAGACGAUAUCUGAGACACGAUAUCGGGCCCUACGGGGCGCAGCAGGCGCGAAAACUUCACACUGUGCGAAAGCACGAUGAGGGAAUCCCAAGUGCUUGCUCGUAAGAGUAAG
This 400-nucleotide ribosomal RNA is filed under the name uncultured archaeon. Its description in RNAcentral is "bacterial SSU rRNA". It matches the Rfam family "Archaeal small subunit ribosomal RNA", at positions 1 to 406 of the family's 1478-position model. The record is from RNAcentral.